CCUACGGGUGGCAGCAGUGGGGAAUAUUGGACAAUGGGCGAAAGCCUGAUCCAGCCAUGCCGCGUGUGUGAAGAAGGCCUUCGGGUUGUAAAGCACUUUCAGUGGGGAAGAAAGCCUUGGGGCUAAUACCCUCGAGGAAGGACAUCACCCACAGAAGAAGCACCGGCUAACUCCGUGCCAGCAGCCGCGGUAAUACGGAGGGUGCGAGCGUUAAUCGGAAUUACUGGGCGUAAAGCGCGCGUAGGCGGUCUGAUAAGCCGGUUGUGAAAGCCCCGGGCUCAACCUGGGAACGGCAUCCGGAACUGUCAGGCUAGAGGGCAGGAGAGGAAGGUAGAAUUCCCGGUGUAGCGGUGAAAUGCGUAGAGAUCGGGAGGAAUACCAGUGGCGAAGGCGGCCUUCUGGACUGACACUGACGCUGAGGUGCGAAAGCGUGGGUAGCAAACAGGAUUAGAUACCCGGGUAGUC
This 465-nucleotide ribosomal RNA is filed under the name Vreelandella stevensii. RNAcentral describes it as "partial 16S ribosomal RNA". It matches the Rfam family "Bacterial small subunit ribosomal RNA", at positions 338 to 795 of the family's 1533-position model. The record is from RNAcentral. Lineage: Bacteria; Pseudomonadati; Pseudomonadota; Gammaproteobacteria; Oceanospirillales; Halomonadaceae.